This is a non-coding RNA of Vicia faba (fava bean), 228 nucleotides long. The record is from the annotation of a GenBank genome assembly. NCBI's taxonomy places the organism in Eukaryota, Viridiplantae, Streptophyta, Magnoliopsida, Fabales, Fabaceae.
AUGUUUACUCCAAGUGUUGAUCCUAGAAAUUUCAUUUUGGUUAGAACUUUUCGCUUGGAAUUGUUGUAUAUUUCUCCAUCCCAUGGGCAACUUUCGUAUGCGAACCAAGAAAGAGUAACUCCAACGCUCAAUCGCUCCAUCUCAGAAUCUUCUUUCCGUCGGAAUUUUGCGUCAAUCGAAUUUGGUAAUACGCUGCUUGUGCUAUUAGUGAAGGCACCGAGAGAGUGA